CCUACGGGGGGCUGCAGUGGGGAAUUUUGGACAAUGGGCGCAAGCCUGAUCCAGCAAUGCCGCGUGCAGGACGAAGGCCUUCGGGUUGUAAACUGCUUUUGUACGGAGCGAAAAGGCUCUCUCUAAUACAGGGGGCUCAUGACGGUACCGUAAGAAUAAGCACCGGCUAACUACGUGCCAGCAGCCGCGGUAAUACGUAGGGUGCAAGCGUUAAUCGGAAUUGCUGGGCGUGAAACGUAAGACGGCGGUUAAAUCCACGGGCUCAACCUGGGAACGGCCUUUGUGACUGCAUAGCUAGAGUACGGCAGAGGGGGAUGGAAUUCCGCGUGUAGCAGUGAAAUGCGUAGAUAUGCGGAGGAACACCGAUGGCGAAGGCAAUCCCCUGGGCCUGUACUGACGCUCAUGCACGAAAGCGUGGGGAGCAAACAGGAUUAGAUACCCGUGUAGUC
This 449-nucleotide ribosomal RNA is filed under the name uncultured bacterium. RNAcentral's name for it is "partial 16S ribosomal RNA". It matches the Rfam family "Bacterial small subunit ribosomal RNA", at positions 338 to 795 of the family's 1533-position model. The record is from RNAcentral.